AUGGCUGGGGACAUCCGUGGGGACAUCCCUGGUGGACAUCACUGGGGACACCCCGGGGGACACCCCUGGGGACAUCCUUGGGGACAUCCAUGGGGACAUCCAUGGGGACAUCCAUGGGGACAUCCAUGGGGACACGGGGACAUCCUUGGGGACAUCCUUGGGGACAUGGGGACAUCCUUGGGGACAUCCCUGGGGACAUCACUGGGGACAUCCAUGGGGACAUCCAUGGGGACAUGGGGACAUCCAUGGGGACAUCCAUGGGGACAUCCUUGGGGACAUCCCUGGGGACAUCCCUGGGGACAUCCAUGGGGACAUCCAUGGGGACACGGGGACAUCACUGGGGACAUCCAUGGGGACAUCCAUAGGGACAUCCAUGGGGACACGGGGACACGGCUGGGGACACGGGGACAUCCAUGGGGACAUCCAUGGGGACAUGGGGACAUCCAUGGGGACACGGGGACAUGGGGACAUCCAUGGGGACAUCCUUGGGGACGUCCAUGGGGACAUCCAUGGGGACAUCCAUGGGGACAUCCAUGGGGACAUCCUUGGGGACAUCCAUGGGGACAUCCAUGGGGACAGGGGGACACGGCUGGGGACACGGGGACAUCCUUGGGGACAUCCAUGGGGACAUCCUUGGGGACACGGGGACAUCCUUGGGGACAUCCAUGGGGACAUGCCUGGGGACAUCCUUGGGGACAUCCAUGGGGACAUCCAUGGGGAUAUCCAUGGGGACGUCCUUGGGGACAUCCUUGGGGACAUCCAUGGGGACACCCCUGGGGACAUCCUUGGGGACAUCCAUGGGGACAUCCAUGGGGACAUCCAUGGGGACGUCCUUGGGGACAUCCAUGGGGACAUCCAUGGGGACACCCCUGGGGACAUCCUUGGGGACAUCCAUGGGGACAUGGGGACAACCCUGGGGACAUCCAUGGGGACAUGGCUGGGGACACGGGGACAUCCAUGGGGACACCCCUGGGGACAUCCAUGGGGACACCCCUGGGGACUUCCAUGGGGACAUCCAUGGGGACACCCCUGGGGACAGGGGGACAUCCCUGGGGACACCCCUGGGGACUUCCAUGGGGACAUCCAUGGGGACAUCCUUGGGGACACAGGGACAUCCUUGGGGACAUCCAUGGGGACAUCCCUGGGGACAUCCUUGGCGACACGGGGACAUCCAUGGGGACACCCCUGGGGACACGGGGACACGGCUGGGGACACGGGGACAUCCUUGGGGACAUCCAUGGGGACAUCUCUUGGGACACCCAUGGGCACAUCCAUGGGGACACCCCUGGGGACACGGGGACAGGGACAGGCACAGGGACACCCCCCCAGGGACACGGACAUGGCCUGGGGACAGUGACACCCGAGACAUGGCCUGGGGACAUCCCCUGGGGACAUGGGGACAGUAUGGGGACAGGGCCACCCCAG
This 1425-nucleotide long non-coding RNA is filed under the name Chloebia gouldiae (Gouldian finch). RNAcentral's name for it is "Erythrura gouldiae (Gouldian finch) lncRNA (ENSEGOG00005011611.1)". The record is from RNAcentral. Lineage: Eukaryota; Metazoa; Chordata; Aves; Passeriformes; Passeridae.